RNAcentral lists this ribosomal RNA (253 nucleotides) under uncultured bacterium. Its description in RNAcentral is "partial 16S ribosomal RNA". It matches the Rfam family "Bacterial small subunit ribosomal RNA", at positions 524 to 776 of the family's 1533-position model. The record is from RNAcentral.
UACGGAGGGUGCGAGCGUUGUCCGGAAUCACUGGGCGUAAAGGGCGCGUAGGCGGCUUCUUAAGCGUGCGGUGAAAGCUCGGGGCUCAACCCCGAGUCGGCCGUGCGAACUGGGGAGCUCGAGCACUGUAGAGGCAGGUGGAAUUCCGGGAGUAGCGGUGGAAUGCGUAGAGAUCCGGAAGAACACCGGUGGCGAAGGCGGCCUGCUGGGCAGUGGCUGACGCUGAGGCGCGACAGCGUGGGGAGCAAACAGG